UACAGAGGUCUCAAGCGUUGUUCGGAUUCAUUGGGCGUAAAGGGUGCGUAGGCGGCGCGGUAAGUCGGGUGUGAAAUCUUGGAGCUUAACUCCGAAACUGCAUUCGAAACUGCCGUGCUUGAGGACUGGAGAGGAGACUGGAAUUUACGGUGUAGCGGUGAAAUGCGUAGAUAUCGUAAGGAAGACCAGUGGCGAAGGCGGGUCUCUGGACAGUUCCUGACGCUGAGGCACGAAGGCCAGGGGAGCAAACGGG
RNAcentral lists this ribosomal RNA (253 nucleotides) under uncultured bacterium. RNAcentral describes it as "partial 16S ribosomal RNA". It matches the Rfam family "Bacterial small subunit ribosomal RNA", at positions 524 to 776 of the family's 1533-position model. The record is from RNAcentral.